RNAcentral lists this ribosomal RNA (521 nucleotides) under Ossicaulis lignatilis. RNAcentral describes it as "SSU rRNA". It matches the Rfam family "Bacterial small subunit ribosomal RNA", at positions 406 to 899 of the family's 1533-position model. The record is from RNAcentral. Lineage: Eukaryota; Fungi; Basidiomycota; Agaricomycetes; Agaricales; Lyophyllaceae.
UGAAUCAUGCUUAAUGUUGGUGAUUGUGAUAACGUAAGGGAAAAAAAUGAUAUUACCUUACUAUUAGUGUUGUCCAAAACUGGUGCCAGAAGACUCGGUAAGGCCAGAGACGCAAACGUUAGUCGUCCUAAUCAGGCGUAAAGGGUGUGUAGGCUGCUUUAAAAGUUAUAUCUUUCAUAAAGCUCUUUUAACUAAGUAAAAUAAUAAUAGAAAAAUUAUUAUAAUCCUUGGUUCUAAGGUAAAUAUAUAAUUAAUUAAAGCUAGGAUCAAAUUGAGGAUAAGCCAAAUAAUACUUAGAGUAGGGAUUAAAUCCUCAGAUACUAAGGGGAAUACUAAAGGUGAAAGCUUUUUAUCUAUUAUUGAUUGACGCUGAGAAACGAAGGUGAGAAUAGGAAAUAGGAUUAGAUACCCAGAUACCUCUCACUGUCAACGAUGAAUGGUGGUUGUUAGUUUAAAAAAAACUGGUAACGAUGUUAACACGAUAACCAUUCCGCCUUGCGAGUACGGUUGCAAAACUGAAA